This 473-nucleotide long non-coding RNA is filed under the name Coturnix japonica (Japanese quail). RNAcentral's name for it is "lncRNA (ENSCJPG00005003343.1)". The record is from RNAcentral. Lineage: Eukaryota; Metazoa; Chordata; Aves; Galliformes; Phasianidae.
UGCAUGGAUGUUCCAGCUCCUUCCUGGGGACAGGCCCAACCAGGCCUGAUACAAGCCCAGGAGUGUUAGAGCAACAUGGGCCUUGGCCUAGAGGAACAAAGAGAGCUUGUGAAACUCCUGCCUUCAUCUGAGGUUCGGCACUGAAGUGGAAGAGGCUGAGACUACAGAGUUCAAGUGAGCUGUGUCUACAAAGUUGACAGGUUUCGAAUUACUGAAAUUAAACUAAGCUAUUCCUGAUUUAUAGCAGUGUAAACAAGAGGAAUUCAGCCCUGCUGAAGAUGUCUGACCUGAAAAACAUUAUGCAUUUUUCCAAUGCAGCUGUCUGAGUCAUUUUCCUUAUACUGUGUAAUACCUUAUUGUACCAACAGGCAGAGAGCUGCAUCUUAUAUAAUCAUCUCAUCUGAAUUCUAUAAGAUUUCCAACAGGGAGACUGAAUGAGCAGAGCAAGCCAAAAGAUAUGUAAUUAAAACUGA